UAAUUUAACAAAGCAGCCUUGUCUUAUUUCAAUGAACUAGCAUACAUUCACACGUAUAUAUGACAACUCAACUAUAUACAUGAUAAAAACAAAAGCUUUAGGCAAAACAUAAAACUCAAACUUACAAAAUUUCAAAGUUCGUAAGUGAAGUGAACAACCAAAUGAAUCAACAAAGCUAAUUACAGUAACACUAAACUGAUGCUCACGGGUUAGCUCGGACAAUGCAUCUUCUACGAAUCCUACUUUGUCCAUCAAUGCAAAUUGGGUUCCACACGGAAACUCAUCUUCAGAAUCAUCACUGUUACUGAAGAAAUAAGCAGGUAAAUGUACUCAUUAUGUACAGAAUUCAAAAAUCUUCAUUACCUAAAUGUACUCAUAGUGUGCAAUUGAACACCAUGAGGUUUCAAAAAUCUUCAUUACCUAUAUGUGUAAUUGAACACCCUGCCUGAGCUUUCAAAAAUCUUCAUUACCUAUAUGUGUAAGAUGUCUCGUUUCUCAAUCGAAGAAGCUAAAUUAUACAAAUACGAGGCAAAACCCUAACCCCAAAGUGAAUCGGAGUGCAAAUAGUUCGAAUUGUAAGAGCUGUAAUCGGCGAUGGCUUUUCCUCCUGUGCGUAGCGGAGAGAUGAUUUUGGACCUAGGUGCGAAAGAUCCGAGUG
This 658-nucleotide long non-coding RNA is filed under the name Actinidia chinensis (golden kiwifruit). RNAcentral's name for it is "long non-coding RNA (ACHI_LNC002995)". Lineage: Eukaryota; Viridiplantae; Streptophyta; Magnoliopsida; Ericales; Actinidiaceae. The record is from RNAcentral.